UGGGGUGUAGCUCAUUGGUGGAGCACUUGCCUAGUAUGUAUGAGGCACUGGGUUCAAUUCUCAGCAUCACAU
Ictidomys tridecemlineatus (thirteen-lined ground squirrel) is the source of this 72-nucleotide non-coding RNA. The record is from Rfam. Lineage: Eukaryota; Metazoa; Chordata; Mammalia; Rodentia; Sciuridae.